Molecule: long non-coding RNA, 451 nt
Organism: Mus pahari (shrew mouse)
Lineage: Eukaryota; Metazoa; Chordata; Mammalia; Rodentia; Muridae
Exons: 3
Source: RefSeq, a predicted model, not a curated record
CCACCGGCGGGGAGUGUGGUCUCCCGUUUUCUUCCGGCCGUGUUGGGGCCUGGUGGGCCGUGUGGAGGCUGCUGCGGGGAGGAGCGUCCGCUCCCCGUUUGUGUGGUGUGUGGUCACUGCCCAGGGCGAAGCACUUCUCAGGAUGCCGGGCAGGGGGGAAGGGAGAGGGCGAGAGCCGGAAGCUCGGCCAUGCUGGGCGGGGGGCGAGCGCGGCUUGUGCGGUUAGGGCCGCGCCGCUGACCCCCGACUUCCUCCUGUCAGCCUCCGUGUGGCGGCCUGUGAACUUCCUGGGAUCUCGACAGCGAGAAUCGCGGAGCAGCGCCUAGUUAAGUUGCUUUAACAGCAUAAGCAGGUCUCUGAGAAAUAAAAGGCAAAGGUCAUUUUUGCUGUGGUUUGAGCUCAGCAUGGCUGUAGUCAUCCGUUUACUGGGGCUUCCUUUUAUUGCGGGUCC